Molecule: long non-coding RNA, 687 nt
Filed under: Homo sapiens (human)
Lineage: Eukaryota; Metazoa; Chordata; Mammalia; Primates; Hominidae
Description: non-protein coding lnc-VSTM4-1:1
Source: RNAcentral
UGCAGAGCAAACAGGGAGCUAAUGGAAGCACUCAGGAUGAUAGAAUUCUAACUUCAUGAAAACAUGUUUGAUUGUGGGUCCCAGUAAAGAUGUCCCAGUUCUCGGCCAGAAUCUUUUCUGAAGACUGAGCUGGAGGAGGUACCCGUUCUGGAAUGGUCUCAAAUGCAACCUGCAGGUUUGGCCCCCUGGAGGAAGUGAGAAGAAUGGAGAUGAACACGUUUCUUGUGUCAUGUCCUCAUUCUGCCCAAGACACACCUACCCGGACCAUGCCGUCUUGACUCCCGGUGAUGAUGAUCUGGCUUGUGUCCCAUGCUGGGCCCUCCAUCAGGCAGCAGCAGGUUAUGGCUCCUUCUGGGCCCCAGGCUGUGGUGAUGCUGGCCAGGGGCUGUCCAUUGACAUUCCACAGGGACAAGUGUGCUCCCGCACAGGAGACAAUGGUGCCCUGUGCAGUGAGAGCUGGCAUCACUCUAAGCUGGAGUCACUGCCUGCCCAUCAGCCACUUGCUCAGCUACCCAGUUGGUACACCCAAGUACUCUCAAUCUGUCAUGCUCUGAAGACCCCCAAGGUACCCCAAAACUUCUUUCCAGCUGACUUACAGGUCUGCUGUGUUUUCACACAGUUGUAAAUUCUUGGUUCUUUUCAUACUGCAGUCAUGUGCUUAGAUACUUCUUUCCUGGCAGAAGGCAC